CUGCUGGCAAACUACACUCUCUUUUACUUUUUCAUCUGGCAUGACUCACAUAUCUCUGAGAUAUCUUCAUCUAUAUCUGAAAUUAGAUCAUGCUUGCUUAGCUCCUUCAUCCCACAAUCUCCCAUAUAGCCUAGGCGAUAGUGCCACAACCAAUGAGCCCCCUGCUGGUCCUGCGUUGCUACUGUUGUAUCAGAUUUUUCAGUCACCAUAGAUCCUUCCAUCCUAGAGAGGUUGUUCUCCAUCCUCCUAUCUCUUAUCACUAUCAUGGCUCUAUUUAAGAUGUUCAAUACCCCACACUUGACAUGACUGCUGAAGCG
RNAcentral lists this long non-coding RNA (317 nucleotides) under Elaeis guineensis (African oil palm). RNAcentral describes it as "long non-coding RNA (EGUI_LNC079918)". The record is from RNAcentral. Lineage: Eukaryota; Viridiplantae; Streptophyta; Magnoliopsida; Arecales; Arecaceae.